AAGUAAAAGUAUUUUCAUUCAUAAACAUGGCCAAAGAACGACUGUAUACAAGGGAUAUACCAAAAGAUUUAUCAUGCUUAUAAUGUUUGAGAUUUAUUUACCAGCAUUGGAAUGAAAUGGGUUCGGAUAGAGUGGAAUUCGAGUUCAAUGAUUCAAAUAGCGGAGCCGACUAGUUUAGGGUUGUGGCGCAGUUGAUUGAUUGAACUUUGAUAAUGUUUGGGCUGAUUGGGUCUGUAAAUGUUCCUCGUUUGUUGAUAUGAAGAUUACUUAUAGCAUGUUUCGCCAAGUUUCUUGGUAGCUAAAUGUGCUUAUUUUAAGAAAUCGAGGUGUUUGGCAAGCUUUUAGAAGAAAACAUUAAGUGCUUUUGAGUAGUAGCUAAGAAAAUCAUUUACUUUAUAAUCCUUAUAAAUAGUGGAUGACAUUUAUGCUUUUUACCACUCAACUGUUUGUCUCUUAUCCCUUCUCUAUAAUAUUUUGCUUACUAUUGUAAUAGAGGUAAGGUCUGCGUACACUCUAGCCUCCCCAGACCCCACUUUGUGGGAUUACACUGGGUAUGUUAUUGUUGUUGUUGUAUUGUAAUAGAGGAAGACAAUGAAGAGCUGUGAGUGCAAUGAAGGAUGGCAAUUUAUGGUUGUCAAACAUACAUAAAGAGGACACCACCAAAUAAUCUGUUGGUGAUGUCAUUUACAUUGAAGGAAACAGUGGAGCCGUUAAAAGAGUGGGCAGGAGUGAUGCUUUUGCCACAUAAUUUGAUCUUGAGGCAGAGAAGUAUGUUCCACUUCCUAAAGGAGAGGUUCACAAAAAAAAAAGGAAAUAGUCCAGGAUGUUACAUUGUAUGAUCUUGAUUCUGCGAAUGCGUGGCCACAAGGAGGACAAGAUAUAUUGUCCCUUAUGGGUCAAAUGAUGAAAUCUAGGAAAACUGAGAUUACUGACAAGUUACGGCAAGAGAUAAACAAGGUGUUGCAGAGCUUGUUCCAGGUGUCUUAUUUAUAGAUGAGGUUCACAUGCUUGAUAUGGAAUGCUUUUCAUACUUGAAUCGUGCCUCGGAGAGUUCACUUUCUCCGAUUGUGAUUUUUGCCACUAACAGAGGCAUUUGUACUGUCAGAAUCAAUUUCGACAAUCACUGGAGGAGUUACGCCGUAGUCUGCUACCUGGCGGCUGGCAUAAAGCUUACAGCAAAAGGAUGAAUUGUGGAUUGUGACUGUUCGUGGCGCCACUAGGUUUGGCACAGCUUACGCCACAAGAACACCAUCUUGUAGAUGAACCCACUAGUGGUGAUGAUGAUGGGGAGCACGUGUCAAACACGCAAUGACAUGGUUGGAUUUUAAAGUAUUUUACUAACUUAUGAAAUUUUUGGUGGAUUUGUAAAAAUGCAAGUGGUUGGUGGAUGUUUUUGAAUGUUGAAGUACUUUCAUUUACUAACUUAAUGUAGACUAGUUUAAUGUUUUGUGGAUGUUGGAAAAGGUUGAAGUAGUUUAAUGUCUUUUGUGAAUGUUUGAAUUACGUUUUGAUUCAACUUUGAAGUAGUUUCGAGUUGAAUUUGAUGUAGUGCGGGUUGUAGCAUGUUAUUAUAGUAUGUGUUUGUGGAUUGUUGGCA
Molecule: RNA transcript, 1597 nt
Organism: Lycium ferocissimum
Lineage: Eukaryota; Viridiplantae; Streptophyta; Magnoliopsida; Solanales; Solanaceae
Gene name: ruvB-like protein 1
Exons: 6
Source: RefSeq, a predicted model, not a curated record